UAAUACGGAGGGUGCAAGCGUUGUCCGGAUUUAUUGGGUUUAAAGGGUGCGUAGGUGGCCUUAUAAGUCCGUGGUGAAAGCCUGCUGCUCAACAGCAGAACUGCCAUGGAUACUGUAGGGCUUGAGUCCAGACGAGGUUGGCGGAAUGGAAGAUGUAGCGGUGAAAUGCAUAGAUAUCUUCCAGAACCCCGAUUGCGUAGGCAGCUGACUAGGCUGGUACUGACACUGAGGCACGAAAGCGUGGGGAGCGAACAGGAUUAGAUACCCUGGUAGUCCACGCCGUAAACGAUGGAUACUCGUUGCAGGCGAUACACUGUCUGUGACUUAGCGAAAGCGUUAAGUAUCCCACCUGGGGAGUACGCUCGCAAGAGUG
Molecule: ribosomal RNA, 373 nt
Filed under: uncultured bacterium
Lineage: Bacteria
Description: bacterial SSU rRNA
Rfam family: Bacterial small subunit ribosomal RNA
Source: RNAcentral